CUCCCACCAUGGAUCUGCGUUUGGUUAAUCUGCCCUUCAGGCUAGACAUAUAAACAAGUAAAUCUUUGUAAACGAUGUAAUAUUUUAAAGACACACUCCGCCCGACACCUCCACACACCACCGUUGGGGGCAGAGGCUGAGAGCGCAGGGAGAGUCCAUCAUUUCCUUCUGGAAUCUUCACCGUCUCUGCCUAUGGGAGGCUCUGAGGGUAAACGCUCCAGGAGCUCUCAAGUUCUGGGAGAACCUGGCUUCAGGCACUUCCGGGCCUUGAGGGUUUGUCUGCUGAGGAUGCGUGGGUGGCAGUACCCGGGACACAGUCUAGGUCACCACCCAAGUCUGCAGACCUGACCUAAUGGGAGGGAAGCCUUUUCCAGAGCUGGCACCAUGUUCUUCAACUUGCAACACUGUGUGAAAUAAACUUUUUCUUUUUUAAAAAA
Peromyscus leucopus (white-footed mouse) is the source of this 437-nucleotide long non-coding RNA. RefSeq lists it as uncharacterized. The record is from RefSeq and is a predicted model, not a curated record. NCBI's taxonomy places the organism in Eukaryota, Metazoa, Chordata, Mammalia, Rodentia, Cricetidae. The transcript is spliced from 4 exons.